UGGGUCUUCCGGAGUGGGGGGGCCCCCGAGGCCCAGCCUCCCAUCCGUGUUGAACUAACACCUGUUGCUUCGGCGGGCCCGCCGUGGUUCACGCCCGGCCGCCGGGGGGCCUUGUGCCCCCGGGCCCCGCUCGCCGAAGACCCCUCGAACGCUGCCCUGAAGGUUGCCGUCUGAGUAUAAAAUCAAUCAUUAAAACUUUCAACAACGGAUCUCUUGGUUCCGGCAUCGAUGAAGAACGCAGCGAAAUGCGAUAAUAAUGUGAAUUGCAGAAUUCCGUGAAUCAUCGAAUCUUUGAACGCACAUUGCGCCCCCUGGCAUUCCGGGGGGCAUGCCUGUCCGAGCGUCAUUGCUAACCCUCCAGCCCGGCUGGUGUGUUGGGUCACGUCCCCCCCCGGGGGACGGGCCCGAAAGGCAGCGGCGGCGCCGCGUCCGAUCCUCGAGCGUAUGGGGCUUUGUCACGCGCUCUGGUAGGGUCGGCCGGCUGGCCAGCCAGCGACCUCACGGUCACCUAUUUUUUCUCUUAGGUUGACCUCGGAUCAGGUAGGGAUACCCGCUGAACUUAAGCAUAUCAAUAAGCGGAGGAAAGC
RNAcentral lists this ribosomal RNA (587 nucleotides) under Paecilomyces variotii. RNAcentral describes it as "Byssochlamys spectabilis partial 18S ribosomal RNA". The stretch from base 194 to 346 matches the Rfam family "5.8S ribosomal RNA". The record is from RNAcentral. Lineage: Eukaryota; Fungi; Ascomycota; Eurotiomycetes; Eurotiales; Thermoascaceae.